Triticum aestivum (bread wheat) is the source of this 1887-nucleotide long non-coding RNA. RefSeq lists it as uncharacterized. The record is from RefSeq and is a predicted model, not a curated record. The transcript is spliced from 2 exons. Lineage: Eukaryota; Viridiplantae; Streptophyta; Magnoliopsida; Poales; Poaceae.
UGCUUGCAUGCAUCUUUCAUCCACGAGGGUUCUUGUUAGGGAAACGUUUGUGGCCAGCGGUCUGGCUGAAACUUCGGCCGGUCGUGCGCGGCGCGUACGAUACAAGCAAUCGUAUGUUCCAUAUUCUUCUUCACGCCAACACACUAGCGCGUGGGCCUCGUGCGGCUGCUGGCCCAUCUGCUCACCCAACCUUAUCUCUUCCUCACGCUCACCCAGCCUUAUCUCUUCCUCACGAGACUCCUCAACCAUUCGUUCUCCACCGCCGCUCUAUCUCUAUGUCUCUCUCAAUCCAAUUCAAGCAUGGCGACUGCAAGCAAGGUCAGUUUUGCGAGUUCUUGGCCGCAUCGCUGGGUUGUGUGGGGUGGCGAUGCUGCAACACCAGGUGGGCGCCGACGGGCCUGAUGGUGGUGCGGGGGGACGCACCCAUGGAUGCUGGCGAGAGUUACAACCAUGGCGGCUAGAUGCUGGAACCCAUACAAAUUUUUGCUUCUAUUGGCGUUUUGUUUUUUGCUGAAACUAGCGCCGUUUUUUAAUGUUUUGCUACCACCGUUUUGUUUUUUUCUGGAACCAGCAUCAUUUUUCGCUACCACCAGAUUUUUGAUUUGCUGGAACCAGCCCCUCGACUAUGCAUCUUUGCUACCACCACGGCGGCCAGAUGCUGGAAUCAGCACAAUUUUUUUCUUCCAUCGAAGUUUUGGUUUUGCUGAAACUAAUGUCAUUUUUUGUAUUUUUUGCUACCACUGUUUUGUAUUUUGCUGGAACCAGCGUCAAUUUUUGCUACCACCGGAUUUUUGAAAUGCUGGAACCAGCCCUCAACUUUGCAUCUUUGCUACCACCGGCGUUUUGGAAUGCUAGAAUAAGCUUCAAUUUUUGCUACCACCAGAUUUUGGUUUGUUGGAAUGGCGUCUGAUUCCGUUUUUUUGCUACCACCAUUAUUUGAUUUGCUGGAACCAUGGCCAAUAUUUGCUACCACUGCCGUUUGCUGCGAGACCAUGGAGUCGUCGCCAUUGUUUCUGCAGGAGGGCGAGGGAGGGGGAUGGGCCGCGCCGCAAAUUGAGUGCGAGGUACGGCGCGAGCUCGACGACGGGGUGAUGUGGCCAUCUCCACAGGGGUUGCCAUGGCCGAUAUGCGCGCGCGGCCAAGGAUGCGGCGGCCCGUGGGUUGCCGGCGAGCACGAGCCCGAGGACGAACGUGGGGCGGCCAAGGAUGCGGCGGCGAGCGCGGAUUGCCUGCGAGCCCGAGUCCGAGGAUGAGCGCUGGCGGCGCAAGUAGAAGACAAGCGCGGCGCCGAAGUAAAGCUGCGCGAGACGGCGAGAUGCGGAGAGCUGCACGAGCGCGAGGAGGAAGAUGUCUAGGGCGAACCCUUUUUUUUUGCUAUAUCCAACGGUCAGGGCUAGUGGCAUCCGGUGGCUAGGGCGCGACCGGCCCAAAUUUGGGCCGGCGUGCCAGCGCCUAGCGUUGCUCUUCUUGUUAACGGAGUUUCGGCAGAGCUUAUCUACAACAAGAGUGGGUCCCUUUCCCCGCUCCGGCAGCAGCAUUGGGGAAGACCCCACUGGCUACCCAACCAUGACUCCGAGCUUGUCAAGUGGUAGGCCGAGAAUUUUGAGACACUUUGGACAGGUGUGACACCGGUGGCUUGGAAACUUUGGAAACAUCGGAACAGGGUGGUGUUCAACGAUGCUUCACCUUCGGCUAGUGUUGUGUGCUCAGCAGGUACAACUAGAGGGACAAAACUGGAGGGCAGCGUGUUGCAUUCUAGGGUACAAGGGUUGUCUGACAGCGAGUUGUCAGCGUGUGAAGACGUGGGCUCUAGGAGCCGUGGGUGUAAUGUAAAACCUUUCUGGAGCCAUCUAGGCGUUGCUUAUCUAUGAUCUUCUUCUCUUUUUU